Molecule: long non-coding RNA, 902 nt
Organism: Nerophis ophidion (straightnose pipefish)
Lineage: Eukaryota; Metazoa; Chordata; Actinopteri; Syngnathiformes; Syngnathidae
Exons: 4
Source: RefSeq, a predicted model, not a curated record
UUUUGAGAACUCUGAAAAAUGCCUCUUGAGGACCACCCUUUCUAAAUAUAUGAAGAUGUGUAUUUACAACAUUAUUAACAUAUGCAUACUAUAUACCUAUAAACAGGGACGGUGUGGUGCAGUUGGGGGAGUAGCCGUGCCAUCAACCUGAUGGUUCCUGGUUCAAAUCUCCACCUUCUAUCAACCUCAUCACGUCCGUUGUGUCCUUGAGCAAAACACUUCACCCUUGCUCCUGAUGGGUGCUGGGUGUACACCACCUUCCGCCGGAGUGCAGCUGAGAUAGGCUCAGGCGUCCCCUGCGGCCCCAAAAGGAACAAGCCGUAGAAACUGGAUGGAUGGAUGGAACUUCAAGUUAUUACAGGGGUCUGGUCCGAUGACCAUGGAUGAAGUACUGGCUGUCCAGAGUCGAGACCCAGGAUGGACCGCUCGUCGGGACCCAGGAUGGACCGCUCGGCUGUGUAUCGGUUGGGGACAUCUCUACGCUGCUGAUCCGCCUCCGCUUGGGAUGGUUUCCUGUGGACGGGACUCUCGCUGCUGUCUUGGAUCUGCUUUGAACUGAACUCUCGCGGCUGUGUUGGAGCCACUAUGGAUUGAACUUUCACAGUAUCAUGUUAGACUCGCUCGACAUCCAUUGCUUUCGGUCCCCUAGAGGGGGGGUAUGGGGGGGGUUGCCCACAUCUGAGGUCCUCUCCAAGGUUUCUCAUAGUCAGCAUUGUCACUGGCGUCCCACUGGAUGUGAAUUCUCCCUGCCCUUUGUGUGUGAGUUUUCCUUGCCCUUUUGUGGGUUCUUCCGAGGAUGUCGUAGUCGUAAUGGUUUGUACAGUCCUUUGAGACAUUUGUGAUUUAGGGCUAUAUAAAUAAACAUUGAUUGAUUGAUUGAUUGAAAAAUCCCCCCUUUUUGG